This 93-nucleotide ribosomal RNA is filed under the name uncultured bacterium. Its description in RNAcentral is "partial 16S ribosomal RNA". The record is from RNAcentral.
CGUGGAGGAUGAAGGAGCUAUGCUUCGUAACUCCUUUUAUGGGGAAGGAAGAUCUGACGGUACCCCAUGAAUAAGCCACGGCUAACUACGUGC